CUACGUGCCAGCAGCCGCGGUAAUACGGAAGGUCCCGGCGUUAUCCGGAUUUAUUGGGUUUAAAGGGAGCGUAGGCCGUGGAUUAAGCGUGUUGUGAAAUGUAGACGCUCAACGUCUGACUUGCAGCGCGAACUGGUUCACUUGAGUGUGCGCAACGCAGGCGGAAUUCGUGGUGUAGCGGUGAAAUGCUUAGAUAUCACGAAGAACUCCGAUUGCGAAGGCAGCUUGCGGGAGCACAACUGACGCUGAAGCUCGAAAGUGCGGGUAUCAAACAGGAUUAGAUACCCUGGUAGUCCGCACGGUAAACGAUGGAUGCCCGUUCUUCGUUCUUUUGAAUGAGGGACCAAGCGAAAGCAUUAAGCAUCCCACCUGGGGAGUACGCCGGCAACGGUGAAACUCAAAGGAAUUGACGGGGGCCCGCACAAGCGGAGGAACAUGUGGUUUAAUUCGAUGAUACGCGAGGAACCUUACCCGGGCUCGAAUUGCAGAGGAAAGAUCCAGAGAUGG
Molecule: ribosomal RNA, 507 nt
Filed under: uncultured bacterium
Lineage: Bacteria
Description: bacterial SSU rRNA
Rfam family: Bacterial small subunit ribosomal RNA
Source: RNAcentral